This 840-nucleotide ribosomal RNA is filed under the name uncultured bacterium. RNAcentral's name for it is "bacterial SSU rRNA". It matches the Rfam family "Bacterial small subunit ribosomal RNA", at positions 8 to 896 of the family's 1533-position model. The record is from RNAcentral.
AGAGUUUGAUCCUGGCUCAGAACGUACGCUGGCGGCACGCCUAACACAUGCAAGUCGAACGCAGUAGCAAUACUGAGUGGCAAACGGGUGAGUAUAAUGUGGGAAUCUGCCUUUUGGUUCGGAAUAACACGGGGAAACUUGUGCUAAUACCGAAUAAGCCCUUACGGGGAAAGUUUUAAUGCCGAAAGAUGAGCCCGCACUUGAUUAGCUAGUUGGUAAGGUAAAAGCUUACCAAGGCAAUGAUCAAUAGCUGUUCUUAGAGGAAGACCAGCCACAUUGGGACUGAGACACGGCCCAGACUCCUACGGGAGGCAGCAGUGGGGAAUCUUGCACAAUGGGGGAAACCCUGAUGCAGCGAUGCCGCGUGAGUGAAGAAGGCCUUUGGGUUGUAAAACUCUUUCGUCGGGGAAGAAAAUGACUGUACCCGAAUAAGAAGGUCCGGCUAACUUCGUGCCAGCAGCCGCGGUAAUACGAAGGGACCUAGCGUAGUUCGGAAUUACUGGGCUUAAAGAGCUCGUAGGUGGUUAAAAAAGUUGAUGGUGAAAUCCCAAGGCUCAACCUUGGAACUGCCGUCAAAACUUUUUAGCUAGAGUGUGAUAGAGGUAAGUGGAAUUUCUAGUGUAGAGGUGAAAUUCGUAGAUAUUAGAAAGAACACCAAAUGCGAAGGCAACUUACUGGGUCACUACUGACACUGAGGAGCGAAAGCAUGGGUAGCGAAGAGGAUUAGAUACCCUCGUAGUCCAUGCCGUAAACGAUGUGUGCUAGACGUUGGAAAUAUAUUUUUCAGUGUCGCAGCGAAAGCAUUAAGCACACCGCCUGGGGAGUACGACCGCAAGGUUA